AUUGAACGCUGGCGGCAUGCCUUACACAUGCAAGUCGAACGGUAACAGGUCUUCGGAUGCUGACGAGUGGCGAACGGGUGAGUAAUACAUCGGAACGUGCCCGAUCGUGGGGGAUAACGAGGCGAAAGCUUUGCUAAUACCGCAUACGAUCUACGGAUGAAAGCGGGGGAUCUUCGGACCUCGCGCGGACGGAGCGGCCGAUGGCAGUUUAGGUAGUUGGUGGGAUAAAAGCUUACCAAGCCGACGAUCUGUAGCUGGUCUGAGAGGAUGAUCAGCCACACUGGGACUGAGACACGGCCCAGACUCCUACGGGAGGCAGCAGUGGGGAAUUUUGGACAAUGGGCGAAAGCCUGAUCCAGCCAUGCCGCGUGCAGGAUGAAGGCCUUCGGGUUGUAAACUGCUUUUGUACGGAACGAAAAGCCUCUUUCUAAUAAAGAGGGGUCAUGACGGUACCGUAAGAAUAAGCACCGGCUAACUACGUG
RNAcentral lists this ribosomal RNA (482 nucleotides) under uncultured bacterium. RNAcentral describes it as "partial 16S ribosomal RNA". It matches the Rfam family "Bacterial small subunit ribosomal RNA", at positions 30 to 507 of the family's 1533-position model. The record is from RNAcentral.